Molecule: ribosomal RNA, 400 nt
Filed under: uncultured bacterium
Lineage: Bacteria
Description: bacterial SSU rRNA
Rfam family: Bacterial small subunit ribosomal RNA
Source: RNAcentral
UGGGGAAUCUUGGACAAUGGGGGAAACCCUGAUCCAGCCAUGCCGCGUGAAUGAAGACGGCCUUCGGGUUGUAAAGUUCUUUCAGUAGGGAAGAUAAUGACUGUACCUACAGAAGAAGCCCCGGCUAACUCCGUGCCAGCAGCCGCGGUAAGACGGAGGGGGCUAGCGUUGUUCGGAAUUACUGGGCGUAAAGGGUGCGUAGGCGGUUUUGUAAGUCAGAGGUGAAAUUCCCGAGCUCAACUUGGGCGCUGCCUUUGAUACUGCAAGACUAGAGAUUGGAAGAGGUAGGUAGAAUUCCUAGUGUAGAGGUGAAAUUCGUAGAUAUUAGGAGGAAUACCGGUGGCGAAGGCGACCUACUGGUCCAUAUCUGACGCUGAGGCACGAAAGCGUGGGGAUCAAA